UACGAAGGGGGCUAGCGUUGCUCGGAAUCACUGGGCGUAAAGGGUGCGUAGGCGGGUCUUUAAGUCAGGAGUGAAAUCCUGGAGCUCAACUCCAGAACUGCCUUUGAUACUGAAGAUCUUGAGUUCGGGAGAGGUGAGUGGAACUGCGAGUGUAGAGGUGAAAUUCGUAGAUAUUCGCAAGAACACCAGUGGCGAAGGCGGCUCACUGGCCCGAUACUGACGCUGAUGCACGAAAGCGUGGGGAGCAAACAGG
Molecule: ribosomal RNA, 253 nt
Filed under: uncultured bacterium
Lineage: Bacteria
Description: partial 16S ribosomal RNA
Rfam family: Bacterial small subunit ribosomal RNA
Source: RNAcentral